This 340-nucleotide long non-coding RNA is filed under the name Elaeis guineensis (African oil palm). RNAcentral describes it as "long non-coding RNA (EGUI_LNC009581)". Lineage: Eukaryota; Viridiplantae; Streptophyta; Magnoliopsida; Arecales; Arecaceae. The record is from RNAcentral.
CAGUAUCAUAGUUGCUCACAGUAAGACUAUUGUAGUUUGACUACAUAUAAAUAUUAACUCAAUUAUAAAUUUUUAUAGUAGAUGUUGGCUUCAGUUGGUUGAACUGUGUGAGCGAUGUGUGUGUCUAUAUGGGAUCUAUCGAACUUGAAAGAGAGGAGUAGUCCUAUAAGAUUUGAGAAGCUGAGUCCAUGAGUCUAUGGCCAUAGCAGUGUGAUUGAUAGAAAAGAAUUUUCAUUUGAUAUCACUAAUGGACUUGAGCUGAUCGGAUUUAUCAUAUGAUUGAUAAUGAGGUUUGACGAAUUAUCUAUGACCAGCCAUCUAGUCGGAACUCACGAUAGAA